Molecule: long non-coding RNA, 8347 nt
Organism: Leopardus geoffroyi (Geoffroy's cat)
Lineage: Eukaryota; Metazoa; Chordata; Mammalia; Carnivora; Felidae
Exons: 3
Source: RefSeq, a predicted model, not a curated record
CUCAAAUUUCUCCCUGAAACUCCACCAAUUGUUAGAGAGACACCUGAACUUGAAAGAUAAAGCAAAACUACUGAGACAAUUAGGAUAAUCAGAAAAGAAGCCAGUUAUCAGCUGUACUUUAGUGUGGAAUAGUUCAAUCACCUUAGUAGAAGGGACACUUAAAUUAAGCAAGUUUGGGAAUAAGUUUGCUUACUUUCUUUUGCCCUCACCCUCCAAAGAAAGAGAAGUAGGCUAGGUCAAGACCAGACUUAAGUUCAUCUCCUUCCUGAUGCUCUACUUUCCCGGGCAUUGCUUGAUCCUUCACGCCCUCCCUGAAACAUAGUUAAUGUUUAUAGUACCCCCCCCCCCCCCCACACACACACACAUCGGUGCUUUCUCCCAGUCUUUCAGUGUCCAUCAGGAGUAAGUAUGCUCAGUUGUUAAUGUGAUCGCUCUAUACUGGAAACUCAUACCUGGAAAGUAUGAUAUUCCAGUUUUCUAAGAGUACAAAUUCCAAGUAAAAUGACUCUGAGCUGGGAGUAAAGGGUGGAGGACCCGAAAUCAUCCCCAUGUACCUGUGAAUAGUGUAAAUCAAAUUCUCCCCUAAAAGAAACUCAGGGUACAGGAGGGGGGCAGUGAGUUGUCACAAAAGAAUUCAAGAAUCCAGGAUUAGGCAGCACCAGCCUUCUAGGGCUUCACCCCAAGCAGGAAAUUGCUGCACUGCGCCAUGGCUUCCCUACACCAGUGCCCAGGCAGCUGGCCAAUUCACUAACCCCUUCCCUGGCCUCGCACAGACCGCGUCGUCCGUGCAACCCUGGCCUCACAGUAACCCUGGCUGGCUUGAGAAGAGUUGGCAGAGAGAGUCCAGGGCAUGCUAUUUAAAGCUAUAAGCAGCUACUGUGAAUGGAGAUGAGCUGCUUUAGCAGCAGAGGAUAAGGCUAGACACAGCAGAUUCUCACUUGUCCUAAUGAAUUCACACGCCUGCUGUGGUUAGGCCCCCAAACUUGAUAUGAAAGAGCUCAGUGCCAUUUAUUAAUUACUAGUAGUCAUCUAUCCCAUCCAGCAAAUUUUCCACAAUUAAGUUGCUUGAUUUCAAAUCCUUAUAUUCAAUUUUCAACAUCAAAAUAUACUAAUGAUAUGCAUAUGUAAUUAUGUGUGUGCAUACAUUAUGUAUACACACACCUAAAUACCCACAUGGACUAUUUCAUGUAAACAUACACACAUACAUCUUUGUAUACAUAUGUAGAUAGCUAGGGAAUACAUAUAUAAUGAGAGAUCCAUAAAUGUGUCUGUGUUUGAAUUCAGGUUACCCGAGCUACCAGAAAUAUUAGGAAUACCCACUGAGAACCAGGAUUAGGUAACAAAGGCACAGGUUCUGAAUGCAGGUAUCAAGGUCUUCCAUGAGACAAAGACAAGACACUCACUUCUCUGGAUUCUUAAGCCAUGAACAGGAACUGUUGUCAGGAUUAAGAUAAUUCCUGUAAAAGACAAUUCUAUGCCUGGCACACAGAGUUCAUGCUCAAAGACCUUAACUGGUAUUAGUAUUAUGAUAAAAACAUCUAUAGUAGCUCAGGAGGACUGUGGCAGAUUAGUUUUCUUCUGGAAAAUAAAUUUUAUCUCAACCAACUCCGAUAAUCUGUCCCCAUAGUCUCCUUGUCCUCUUCAUAAAAUGUGCUCACAAGGUGCCAUAUCUAGGGAAUUCCUAUUCAUGUUUUAAAAUUCAGCUCACCUAUCAUUUCCAGGAAACUUUCCCUGACCCCUAGCCUAGGUCUGAUGACUUUGUUGCCUUUUUCAUAAAACAUUGUCCCUGUCCUUUAUAUCUUUAUUUACCCAGUUGGGUGACUAAAAAGUAAUGUCUCUAUUUCCCACUCUAUCUAAGAUAAACUCCAUGGGGGCAAAUACUAUGUCUGCUUCUGCUCAUUGUUGCAUCCCUAGCACUGAAAGUAUACAGCACAUGAUAGAUACUCAAUAAAUACUUAUUGAAUGAAUGAAUGAGUUAGCCAGGUAUUAAUGAAUCUAUUUGUUCUCUCCUAAGAAGCAGAGAGAGAAUUCACUCACAGGAAUACAAAGAAUCCUGGGAGUUACCAAGAGACACAAAAGUUGGAAAAACUAGCACUUGCCUAGAAGAAGUCAAGCUAUCCAAGAAACCAAAGAGGAAUACUCUGGACUGGAAAAAAAAAUUGAUAUAAGAAAGCAUAUUGACCUCCAUCACCUAAUAAAACAGAUAAGAAAUGAACAAGAUUGGCAAGGCUCUGAAUAACAGUCUUAUAUCACCUAAUGCCAUAGACCUCUUUAUCACUAUCCUAAAAAAUGUACCACUCUGAGGUUCAUAAUAUAAAUAUUUUCCCAAAACAAAAAGCAUGAGAGGAAUGUUAAAAUUAUGACUUAUGCCUGGUUAAUUCCAUUCUAGCCGGAAUAUGGGCUAUAUCACGUGACUAAAGGGAAAUUUUCCUGAAGCAGUUUCCUGCAUGGUAGGUACACUGAAACAGCUGAGUGGUCAUCUGCAUAAAACAAAAGUAUUACAAUAAUAAUAACAAUAGGAAGCCAAUCAUGGAUGCUUACUACAUCUUUCUCAACUCUGAAAAACCUAGUAAGUGGAACAAGGUGUCUUUACCUCAUAUUUCUAAGUAGAACCUAAGAAAGGACUUCCUCUAUCUGGCAGAGCUACAUAUAAAUAAGACGGAGGGUAGUGAGUUUCCCAUCCUUAGAUGUCUUCAGGAGGGCAAAAGUUAGAGUAUCUCUCAAGAGCUGAUAAUGAAGGAGCCCUGCUUCAGGUGGAGAAGGUGAUGUGAACGUUACAGGAUUUUCACCAAGGUAUUCACUUCAGAGAAGAUGGAAUUUUCCAUAAAUUAGGUCACAGGCUGACUUGGCCACCUGCAGUAUUUAUUUUGCGAACUAAAACCAUUACUAAUAUUAUGAAUCACAAAAUAUCAAGGACAAAUAAUUUUAAAUUGAUUAAAGAAGGAAAAGGGCGACAGUAAUAAUCUUCAAUUUCCUAAGCACAAGGCUGUGUGAAAGAUGCCCUAACAGUCUUGGAAAAGCCUUGACAUGAUGUCCACUUUACUGAAGGAAAGACACCUCCAAAAAGUUAAAUCACUUGUGUAAGGUCACAGGCUGGUAGGUGGCGGAACGGGAACUGGAGUUAAGUCUGUCUGAUUCUACCCUGAUGCCAUGCCCACUCUUGCCAUGAGCCAUUUCCCUCAACCAUUUCACACGUGUUGACAUCUGUCACCAAUAGUAGUUACAUUUUUCCAAACUGAACUGUUUCAUAGUAUCGUAACUCUAAAUAACUUAGCUGGGGUUCCUCUUCAUUAGUGUUUAUCGAUUUCGCUACAAAACUCCAAACCAAACACCUUGUAAGCAUUUUAUAAAAGUAGGCUAUAACAAUCUAGAUAAUGCUUUUCAAAACAUAUCAGGCUAUAUAUAAUGUCCUUUUUUUUUUUAACAUUACGAACUCUGAAGUUAGACCUCAGUGCACUUAUAUAUCCCUUUUUCUUUAAUCAAUAAACUAGAAUUUUCAGAAAUGUAUUACAAUUAUGGAAGAGUCCAUCAAAGGACUCACAAACCACACUAAGACUAAUGAUAAUGUGUUGAUACAUUUAGUGUAGUCUGGUAUUGCUUAAAAAUUAAUCAACUCUUUUGAAAAUAAUUAAAAAAAAAACACCAGGUGAUCAAAGUCCCUUGUUUUAGAGACAAAGAAUUCCCAAAGCCUGACUACCUGAAUAAAAAGUACAAUAGAUUUUCUAUUCCAAAAUUUUUUGCAAUUUCACUGUUGUAGACUAACAACAAUAGGUUACAACCUCACUUUUCAAUUGUAUUUCUGAUUAACACUGCUGUUAUUCCAGCAGUGUUAAAAACAUACAAGUCAAUUCAAGUCGUUCAUUCUUGUCAACAACCCACAUUGUGAGAGGCACAUUUAGGUAGCUUGGGGUAAUAGAACUGUCAUGGGCUUUGUUGCCACUAGACCCACAUGCCAAUAUAGCUCUGCCACCAACUCUACAACCUAACAUCAAAUUCUGUCACUGGUGUUCAAAUCAAAGUAUUUUAUUAAACAUUGAUUUUCUCUCCCUUUUCUAUGGCUUGCCAUAAAGAUGUGUACAUAUGUGUUUAUAUGUGUGUGUCUGUGCAUAUAUAUAUUUCUAUAUACACACAAAUACAUAUAUAGCUAUAGAGUACAAAUACUAUAAAUGAUACAAGAUGAGAUUUAAUAUCAAAUAUAAUACAUCUAUUCAGUUAUUUUUGUUUUCUUUUUUGAGACUUAAGUCAAGCUGAUCUAAUUACUCUUUAUGCUCAAAUUUUUUACUUUCUUUUUUAAAAAAAAAGUUAAGUUUAUUUAUUUAUUUUGAGGGGGGGGCGGGAUGAGCAAGGAAGGGGAAGAGAAAGGGGGAGAGAAAGAAUCCCAAGCAGUAUCUGUUCUGUCAGCAAGGAGCCCGAUGUGGGACUCAAACUCACAAAUCGUGAGAUCAUGACCUGAGCCAAAAUCAAGAGUCAGAAACUUAACCAACUGAGCCACCCAUCACCCCAUCAAUUUUUUUUUACUAUCUUUAUAGUAGUGCAUUGUAAACAAAUACAGUUAAAUCUCGGUUUGUGAGCAUAAUUUGUUCCAGAAACAUGCUUGUAUUCCAAAGCUCUCGCAUAUCAAAGAGAAUUUCAAGAACCAUUGGCUCCGUUAUGAUCAUGUGACAUUCGGGACCAGGUACUACUCAUAUUGCAAGAUAUUGCUCGAUCAUCAAGUUAAAAUUUAUUAGAAAUGUUUGCUUGCCUUGCAGAACACUUGUAGAACAAGUUACUCGCAAUCCAAGGUUUUGCUGAUACCACUAAAAUGACAUUAGGAACACUCCUUGGAGAAUGAAAAGAAGUAGAGGAUAUGAACAUAGAGUAAAUAUAAUAAGAAAGUGAGGAAAACAUUUCAGAUGGAAAAAAUAAUAGUCUUAGCAGGAAGCUUCCUAAAUGGCACAAUCACUGAUCAAACUUGAAAAGUUGAAGAACCUGGACGAAGAUCUGAGAAGUCAGAUUUUUCAAAGUCAAAUUUCAUAACCCUCUGGGAUAAAAUUUAGGGAACAAAUUCUAGAAAAAAAGUGACUAAGAAAAAAACCUCCCUAAACUCCACACAAAAAGGCCUCAUGACUUCAUGACUUUUCUAUGAAGAAAAGCAACAUAAUUAAGGAACAAGAAUCUUGCCCACCUUCCAUCCUGAAUACCCAUGCAAACUUGCUAAUCUCAAUGACACAGUCACUGAUGUAUGCUCCUUUUUCUUUCUCCCUUUUGUAUCAUCUGGCCCUGUAUUUGGAUUAAUACUGGCCCUCCUCUGUAUUGGUUUUAUAUGUUACAAAGUUCAUGAAAUCAACUUCCCCUUUUCCCCUUUGUUCUUAGGGCCAUCACAGGUGGACCUCCAACAAGACCCCUAUGUUCCUCCGAGGCUCCUCCUCCUACCCAUCCCGUCCCCACCAUCAUCAGGGAUCACUGUAACAUAAAUGCUCACCUUUCCAAUUCUCUUGUUUCACAAAUAUUGCUUCCUCCAAGAAGCCUUCUAACAUCCUUCCAGGCAGAAAUCAUUGUUCCACCAUCCAAGCUCUCACAUUUCAUCUGGUCUAGUCUUACAACAUAUAAAACUUUCUGCCUUGUACUUCGGUUCUGCUUUUGCACAUCUUAUUUCCAGAGCCCUCGGGAGACAAAGGCUAUGCCUGAUUUCCCUCACUAUUUACCACAGCAAUCGGUACAGCACUUUACAUACCCCAGUGCUUCAAAAUGCUUUACCUUGGGAUCAGUAUUCCUGGAAGCAAAGAUUAAGUCAAAAGAAUAACACAGUUUCUUCAAAGUUGAAAACUUUGAGGCUGGAUUUAGUUAGCAAGAACUCUGACCUCAAAACAUGAUUAUGCACAAGGGCAUCAUAUCAACACCAGGAUGUCCUUUUGUUCUUGUUUUAUGGUGAUUUACUAACAGAAGGUACUUUCAGAUGUGGUCAGCACUAUUUUCACAGGUUUAAGGCAUGUCUUGACUAUCUUCAAAAAAUCUGUAUUAGAGUUUUAAUGAAGUCAUGGUUGUCAAGACACUGGCAAGAAGAAGAAGCAUUACUUCCCAAGCUGACAGCAGAAAGAAAAAGUACCUCUGCUGCUGCUUUUAUUUUGUUUGUCCACGUCUGUCCACAGACAGAUUUGCAGCAGUAUCUUUACAUUUUCCCCUGAUUUUUUAACUCAUCUUUAAAUCUUAUUUUUUAAAAAUUUACUACACCAAAGUGAAAGGACAUAAAGUAAAAACAAAUCAUAAUCAAAAUGAUGUAAAGCAAAUAAUCAGCACUGAACCGGUGAUAUUUAUAUAGAAAAUUGAGAUAAAAACGGAGAUGAACUACAAAAAGCUAUAAUAAAGAAAUAUUUUUUAAAUUUAAAAACACUUCUGAUGGUUUUUUUUUUUUUUUUUUCCACUUCCUACUUUAUUCCAAGCCUGCGUCCUUGGAUAUUCUUUGUAGAAGAUCAACUAAAUCACACAGGAGAAAUAGAGCCAAAAAAAUCAGGAAAGACUUGACAUAUGUAUGAUUUUCGACUUAUGCAAAUCAGAUACAAAAUGUGAAAAUGAUCAAGGACGAUGCCAAACCUUGCCUCUUUCCCCCGGAUAUGCACACACUGGCUGCCUAUAUAUCUGAGAAAGGAGGCAGAGUGGGAGAUGUACCCAACCAUGCACACCUGGCAUAAGCGGGGACACACAACUAAGGUAUAAACUUUCAGUAUGCAACAAUCUGGCCACAAGAAUGAAAUCAAAUAAGCAUUUUCAAGAUCUGCUAAAGAAGCAGCUCCAACAACAACAUUUCCAAAUCCUGAGCUGCGGGUAGGAGAAUGACUUUCAUCAGAAAUGACAGGAGCCAGCUGCUCCAGGAAAGAUGUGAGCAGGGUGAUGAGUGGACGUUAAAGAGGGCACCACACACUGAAGGGCUUCCCAAGGCUGUAAACACAAACAGAGAAGGGGACCCAUCUUCAUUCAAAGGCAACUAAAAGUUAGUUGUGACACAUGCUAAACUUCUGAACACAGCCAAAUUCUUUUCCUCACUUCAUCUCCUCUAGGCUCUUAUCACCGCAAGCCAGAGAAACUCUUUGAAGUCUUUUAUUUUCAUUGCAAACCUACUUUCACAGUCAAACAUUUUUCAUCAAGCUAUUGGAGGGGAGAAAAAAAAAAAAAAAAAAAAAGCUUGCUUUUUUUUUUAUUCAUCAAGAAAGAACAAAUAGUUGUGAACUUAAAAAUUCUCCUCAUUUUUUUUAAAAUCUGGCUUUUUCAUAAAUAUUUAUUGCAAUUGCACAAUGUUUAUGUUCAAGAGAGUCACUUAGGAAAGAACAGCACAUUCUUUGGUGUUCCAGAACAUGACACCAGGUAAGAGAAGAUCUUUGAAGGAAAAAAAAAAAAAAAAAAAAGUCAAAAAAAAUGUUUUAAAGAAAAAUGUCCAAGUAUUUUCUUUGUUUGCCACAUGUUAAAAGGAUCAAAUAAUCAAUAACAGAAUAACAAAUAGAGGAGUCUUUUGGUUUUUGUGUUUUUUUAAUGUGAGGCCCCAAUGCCAAAAAGUUAACAUUCUGAUCUUAGCUUUAAAGAAGGACGUCUACCGGUUAUAUUUAUCAUCACUGGACGUUUCACAGACUCAAGAGCUGUAUUAGACGUUCUAUACAUUAAUAUUUCUCAUACGUCUCACAAUUUUUUGAUAGAUAAUACCUUGAAAGACUAAUAUUGAGCCUAGAAUUUAAAGCCAGGAAAAUGAGCAUUUGUCCCCAGGGCCAAAAGCUUAGGAAAAUAUGACAGAUAAGAAACGUGAAUAGCAUUUUAAAGGUUUUCCCUGAAGCUUCCUUGUGGUGAUUAUAUUUUCCAAAUCUAAAGUCGUCUGGCUAACAGUAUGACAAAGGUAUGAGAAACUGGGACAGUCCACUGGGCCACUCUAGUAGCUUCCUAUUGCUGUUGUAACAAACAGCCACAAACUCGGCCACUUGAAACACAGUUCUGGAGGUCAGGAGUUAUCCUACAGUUAUCUACAGUUCUCCUACAGUUCUCCUACAGUUCUGGAGGUCAGGAGUCUGCAAUAGGUCACAUGGGUGUUCACAGGGCUGCAUUUCUUCAAGAACCACUGGGAAUAAUCUGUUUCCUUGACUUUUUCCAGCUUCCAGAGGUCACCUGCAUUCCCUGGCCUAUGGUUCCCUUCCUUCAUCCUCAAAGCCAGAACCAUCAGACCAAGUCUGUCUUAUGCUGCCAUCUCUCUACUUUUGUCUCUAUGGUCUCCCUCUUCCACUUCUCAGGACACCCCCCAAUAAUCCAGGAUAGUCUCCCUAUUUAAAGGCCAACUGGAGCACCUGGGUGGCUCAGUCAGUCAAGAAUCUGACUCUUGAUUUUGGGCUUA